This 365-nucleotide unclassified non-coding RNA is filed under the name fungal sp. Its description in RNAcentral is "partial internal transcribed spacer region". The stretch from base 1 to 46 matches the Rfam family "Eukaryotic small subunit ribosomal RNA", at positions 1786 to 1831 of the family's 1831-position model. Lineage: Eukaryota; Fungi. The record is from RNAcentral.
AAGUCGUAACAAGGUUUGCGUAGGUGAACCUGCGGAAGGAUCAUUAACACGUAUCCAACGUUAAACAAUUCUGUGAACCUUGAACGUGCUCGCAAUCCCUGGUAAGUCAUUGUUGACCAGCUAUUGAGUUAGGGACAUCUGCUUUAAAACGAUGCGAUACGAGCGCCAGAGUAAGUGCGGCCUGGCAUCCUAGCAAUCUGUCAGUGGUUGCGCAAGGAUGGCGCAGUAAACGAUCGCUGUAGGCCCACACGGCCGGCGACCGGGCCUCUGUGCUUCGGCACCUAACGACCCCAUGUUUCGUACCGGUGCGCUGUAACAACCACCACAAACUCGAACAACUGUUAACAAUGGAUAUCUUGGUUCUC